This 253-nucleotide ribosomal RNA is filed under the name uncultured bacterium. Its description in RNAcentral is "partial 16S ribosomal RNA". It matches the Rfam family "Bacterial small subunit ribosomal RNA", at positions 524 to 776 of the family's 1533-position model. The record is from RNAcentral.
GACGUAGGGCGCGAGCGUUGUCCGGAUUUAUUGGGCGUAAAGAGCUCGUAGGCGGCCAACUAAGUCAGACGUGAAAUCCCUCGGCUUAACCGGGGAACUGCGUCUGAUACUGGAUGGCUUGAAUCCGGGAGAGGGAUGCGGAAUUCCAGGUGUAGCGGUGAAAUGCGUAGAUAUCUGGAGGAACACCGGUGGCGAAGGCGGCAUCCUGGACCGGUAUUGACGCUGAGGUGCGAAAGCGUGGGGAGCAAACAGG